AGAGUUUGAUCCUGGCUCAGAACGAACGCUGGCGGCAUGCUUAACACAUGCAAGUCGAACGAUGGCUUCGGCCAUAGUGGCGCACGGGUGAGUAACGCGUGGGAACCUGCCUUCUGGUUCGGAAUAACCACGGGAAACUGUGGCUAAUACCGGAUACGCCCUUUGGGGGAAAGAUUUAUUGCCGGAAGAGGGGCCCGCGU
RNAcentral lists this ribosomal RNA (200 nucleotides) under uncultured bacterium. RNAcentral's name for it is "partial 16S ribosomal RNA". It matches the Rfam family "Bacterial small subunit ribosomal RNA", at positions 8 to 236 of the family's 1533-position model. The record is from RNAcentral.